GCCUUUGUGGUGUAGUGGUCAACACACUCGACGCGUAACCGAGAGGUCCGUGAUUCGAUUCCCGGUGGAGGCU
RNAcentral lists this transfer RNA (73 nucleotides) under Stegodyphus mimosarum. It matches the Rfam family "tRNA". From Rfam's summary of the family: Transfer RNA (tRNA) molecules are approximately 80 nucleotides in length. Their secondary structure includes four short double-helical elements and three loops (D, anti-codon, and T loops). The record is from Rfam by way of RNAcentral. Lineage: Eukaryota; Metazoa; Arthropoda; Arachnida; Araneae; Eresidae.